UACGGAGGGUGCAAGCGUUAUCCGGAUUCACUGGGCUUAAAGGGUGCGUAGGCGGUUAGGGAAGUCCGUGGUGAAAUCCUGCAGCUUAACUGCAGAACUGCCGUGGAUACUCUCUAUCUUGAAUAUCGUGGAGGUUAGCGGAAUAUGUCAUGUAGCGGUGAAAUGCGUGGAUAUCGAGAAGAACACUUAGGGCGUAGGCAAGACUCUGGACAAAUGCUGACGCUCAUGCACGAAGGCUAGGGUAGCGAACGGG
This 253-nucleotide ribosomal RNA is filed under the name uncultured bacterium. Its description in RNAcentral is "partial 16S ribosomal RNA". It matches the Rfam family "Bacterial small subunit ribosomal RNA", at positions 524 to 776 of the family's 1533-position model. The record is from RNAcentral.